RNAcentral lists this ribosomal RNA (292 nucleotides) under uncultured bacterium. RNAcentral's name for it is "partial 16S ribosomal RNA". The record is from RNAcentral.
GGACUACUGGGGUUUCUAAUCCUGUUUGCUCCCCACGCUUUCGCGUCUCAGCGUCAGCAACGAUCCAGAGGGCCGCCUUCGCCGCCGGUGUUCCUCCUGAUAUCUACGCAUUUCACCGCUACACCAGGAAUUCCACCCUCCUCUAUCGCGCUCCAGCCAGCUAGUUUCCGCCGCCCUUCCGGGGGUAAGCCCCGGGCUUUCACAGCAGACUUGGCUGACCGCCUACACGCCCUUUACGCCCAGUCAAUCCGAACAACGCUCGCACCCUCCGUCUUACCGCGGCGGCUGGCAC